CGUAUAUUAAAGUUGUUGCAGUUAAAAAGCUCGUAGUUGGAUUUGUGGCGUAUGGUGUGUUCCGGGCACUUGUUGUCUGAGUAACCUGCUGUUGCCAUCCUUGGGUGGAACCUGUGUGGCAUUAGGUUGUCGUGCAGGGGAUGCCCACCAUUUACUGUGAAAAAAUCAGCGCGUUCAAAGCAGGCUUAUGCCGUUGAAUGUAUUAGCAUGGAAUAAUAAGAUAGGACCUUGGUACUAUUUUGUUGGUUUGCGCACCGAGGUAAUGAUUAAUAGGGACAGUUGGGGG
RNAcentral lists this ribosomal RNA (286 nucleotides) under uncultured diatom. RNAcentral describes it as "partial 18S ribosomal RNA". It matches the Rfam family "Eukaryotic small subunit ribosomal RNA", at positions 598 to 888 of the family's 1831-position model. Lineage: Eukaryota; Bacillariophyta. The record is from RNAcentral.